Molecule: ribosomal RNA, 942 nt
Filed under: Fuscospina nigrescens
Lineage: Eukaryota; Fungi; Basidiomycota; Agaricomycetes; Agaricales; Lycoperdaceae
Description: Lycoperdon nigrescens partial large subunit ribosomal RNA
Rfam family: Eukaryotic large subunit ribosomal RNA
Source: RNAcentral
GGGGGGGGCAAGAACUAACAAGGAUUCCCCUAGUAACUGCGAGUGAAGCGGGAAAAGCUCAAAUUUAAAAUCUGGCGGUCUCUGGCUGUCCGAGUUGUAAUCUAGAGAAGUGAUGCCCGCGCUGGACCGUGUACAAGUCUCCUGGAAUGGAGCGUCAUAGAGGGUGAGAAUCCCGUCUCUGACACGGACUACCAGGGCUUUGUGGUAUGCUCUCAAAGAGUCGAGUUGUUUGGGAAUGCAGCUCUAAAUGGGUGGUAAAUUCCAUCUAAAGCUAAAUAUUGGCGAGAGACCGAUAGCGAACAAGUACCGUGAGGGAAAGAUGAAAAGAACUUUGGAAAGAGAGUUAAACAGUACGUGAAAUUGCUGAAAGGGAAACGCUUGAAGUCAGUCGCGUUAGCUGGGAAUCAGCCUCGCUGUUGCGUGGUGUACUUUCUGGUUGACGGGUCAGCAUCAAUUUUGACUGCUGGAAAAAGGCUUUGGGAAUGUGGCAGCUUCGGCUGUGUUAUAGCCCUUGGUCACAUACAGCGGUUGGGAUUGAGGAACUCAGCACGCCGCAAGGCCGGGUUUCGACCACGUUCGUGCUUAGGAUGCUGGCAUAAUGGCUUUAAGCGACCCGUCUUGAAACACGGACCAAGGAGUCUAACAUGCCUGCGAGUGUUUGGGUGGUAAACCCGAGCGCGUAAUGAAAGUGAAAGUUGAGAUCCCUGUCGUGGGGAGCAUCGACGCCCGGACCUGAACUUUUGUGAUGGAUCCGCGGUAGAGCAUGUAUGUUGGGACCCGAAAGAUGGUGAACUAUGCCUGAAUAGGGUGAAGCCAGAGGAAACUCUGGUGGAGGCUCGUAGCGAUUCUGACGUGCAAAUCGAUCGUCAAAUUUGGGUAUAGGGGCGAAAGACUAAUCGAACCAUCUAGUAGCUGGUUCCUGCCGAAUUUCCCCCUCAAGGA